UUACGACUAUAUCACAGUCAAACAUUCGUUCUCGUGCGAUCACUGAAGUUAAGCAACGUUGAACCUGACCAGUAUCUAGAUGAGUGACCGCUUCGGAAUACCAGGUGCUGUAA
Acanthosepion pharaonis is the source of this 113-nucleotide non-coding RNA. The record is from the annotation of a GenBank genome assembly. Lineage: Eukaryota; Metazoa; Mollusca; Cephalopoda; Sepiida; Sepiidae.